RNAcentral lists this ribosomal RNA (207 nucleotides) under uncultured bacterium. Its description in RNAcentral is "partial 16S ribosomal RNA". It matches the Rfam family "Bacterial small subunit ribosomal RNA", at positions 568 to 774 of the family's 1533-position model. The record is from RNAcentral.
CGCGUAGGCGGUGCGGUAAGUCACCUGUGAAAUCUCCUGGCUUAACUGGGAGCUUGCAGGCGAAACUGCCGUGCUGGAGUGUGGGAGAGGUGCGUGGAAUUCCCGGUGUAGCGGUGAAGUGCGUAGAUAUCGGGAGGAACACCUGUGGCGAAAGCGGCGCACUGGACCACAACUGACGCUGAGGCGCGAAAGCUAGGGGAGCAAACA